This 67-nucleotide transfer RNA is filed under the name Agrotis segetum (turnip moth). RNAcentral's name for it is "tRNA-Glu". The record is from RNAcentral. Lineage: Eukaryota; Metazoa; Arthropoda; Insecta; Lepidoptera; Noctuidae.
AUUUAUAUAGUUUAAAUUAAAACCUUACAUUUUCAUUGUAAAAAUAAAAAAAUUUUUUUUAUAAAUA